RNAcentral lists this ribosomal RNA (2533 nucleotides) under Escherichia coli. RNAcentral describes it as "partial 23S ribosomal RNA". It matches the Rfam family "Bacterial large subunit ribosomal RNA", at positions 165 to 2722 of the family's 2925-position model. Lineage: Bacteria; Pseudomonadati; Pseudomonadota; Gammaproteobacteria; Enterobacterales; Enterobacteriaceae. The record is from RNAcentral.
CAUAGGUUAAUGAGGCGAACCGGGGGAACUGAAACAUCUAAGUACCCCGAGGAAAAGAAAUCAACCGAGAUUCCCCCAGUAGCGGCGAGCGAACGGGGAGGAGCCCAGAGCCUGAAUCAGUGUGUGUGUUAGUGGAAGCGUCUGGAAAGGCGCGCGAUACAGGGUGACAGCCCCGUACACAAAAAUGCACAUACUGUGAGCUCGAUGAGUAGGGCGGGACACGUGGUAUCCUGUCUGAAUAUGGGGGGACCAUCCUCCAAGGCUAAAUACUCCUGACUGACCGAUAGUGAACCAGUACCGUGAGGGAAAGGCGAAAAGAACCCCGGCGAGGGGAGUGAAAAAGAACCUGAAACCGUGUACGUACAAGCAGUGGGAGCCUCUUAAUGGGGUGACUGCGUACCUUUUGUAUAAUGGGUCAGCGACUUAUAUUCUGUAGCAAGGUUAACCGAAUAGGGGAGCCGAAGGGAAACCGAGUCUUAACUGGGCGUUAAGUUGCAGGGUAUAGACCCGAAACCCGGUGAUCUAGCCAUGGGCAGGUUGAAGGUUGGGUAACACUAACUGGAGGACCGAACCGACUAAUGUUGAAAAAUUAGCGGAUGACUUGUGGCUGGGGGUGAAAGGCCAAUCAAACCGGGAGAUAGCUGGUUCUCCCCGAAAGCUAUUUAGGUAGCGCCUCGUGAAUUCAUCUCCGGGGGUAGAGCACUGUUUCGGCAAGGGGGUCAUCCCGACUUACCAACCCGAUGCAAACUGCGAAUACCGGAGAAUGUUAUCACGGGAGACACACGGCGGGUGCUAACGUCCGUCGUGAAGAGGGAAACAACCCAGACCGCCAGCUAAGGUCCCAAAGUCAUGGUUAAGUGGGAAACGAUGUGGGAAGGCCCAGACAGCCAGGAUGUUGGCUUAGAAGCAGCCAUCAUUUAAAGAAAGCGUAAUAGCUCACUGGUCGAGUCGGCCUGCGCGGAAGAUGUAACGGGGCUAAACCAUGCACCGAAGCUGCGGCAGCGACACUAUGUGUUGUUGGGUAGGGGAGCGUUCUGUAAGCCUGUGAAGGUGUACUGUGAGGUAUGCUGGAGGUAUCAGAAGUGCGAAUGCUGACAUAAGUAACGAUAAAGCGGGUGAAAAGCCCGCUCGCCGGAAGACCAAGGGUUCCUGUCCAACGUUAAUCGGGGCAGGGUGAGUCGACCCCUAAGGCGAGGCCGAAAGGCGUAGUCGAUGGGAAACAGGUUAAUAUUCCUGUACUUGGUGUUACUGCGAAGGGGGGACGGAGAAGGCUAUGUUGGCCGGGCGACGGUUGUCCCGGUUUAAGCGUGUAGGCUGGUUUUCCAGGCAAAUCCGGAAAAUCAAGGCUGAGGCGUGAUGACGAGGCACUACGGUGCUGAAGCGACAAAUGCCCUGCUUCCAGGAAAAGCCUCUAAGCAUCAGGUAACAUCAAAUCGUACCCCAAACCGACACAGGUGGUCAGGUAGAGAAUACCAAGGCGCUUGAGAGAACUCGGGUGAAGGAACUAGGCAAAAUGGUGCCGUAACUUCGGGAGAAGGCACGCUGAUAUGUAGGUGAAGCGACUUGCUCGUGGAGCUGAAAUCAGUCGAAGAUACCAGCUGGCUGCAACUGUUUAUUAAAAACACAGCACUGUGCAAACACGAAAGUGGACGUAUACGGUGUGACGCCUGCCCGGUGCCGGAAGGUUAAUUGAUGGGGUUAGCGGUAACGCGAAGCUCUUGAUCGAAGCCCCGGUAAACGGCGGCCGUAACUAUAACGGUCCUAAGGUAGCGAAAUUCCUUGUCGGGUAAGUUCCGACCUGCACGAAUGGCGUAAUGAUGGCCAGGCUGUCUCCACCCGAGACUCAGUGAAAUUGAACUCGCUGUGAAGAUGCAGUGUACCCGCGGCAAGACGGAAAGACCCCGUGAACCUUUACUAUAGCUUGACACUGAACAUUGAGCCUUGAUGUGUAGGAUAGGUGGGAGGCUUUGAAGUGUGGACGCCAGUCUGCAUGGAGCCGACCUUGAAAUACCACCCUUUAAUGUUUGAUGUUCUAACGUGGGCCCCUUACCGGGGUUGCGGACAGUGUCUGGUGGGUAGUUUGACUGGGGCGGUCUCCUCCUAAAGAGUAACGGAGGAGCACGAAGGUUGGCUAAUCCUGGUCGGACAUCAGGAGGUUAGUGCAAUGGCAUAAGCCAGCUUGACUGCGAGCGUGACGGCGCGAGCAGGUGCGAAAGCAGGUCAUAGUGAUCCGGUGGUUCUGAAUGGAAGGGCCAUCGCUCAACGGAUAAAAGGUACUCCGGGGAUAACAGGCUGAUACCGCCCAAGAGUUCAUAUCGACGGCGGUGUUUGGCACCUCGAUGUCGGCUCAUCACAUCCUGGGGCUGAAGUAGGUCCCAAGGGUAUGGCUGUUCGCCAUUUAAAGUGGUACGCGAGCUGGGUUUAGAACGUCGUGAGACAGUUCGGUCCCUAUCUGCCGUGGGCGCUGGAGAACUGAGGGGGGCUGCUCCUAGUACGAGAGGACCGGAGUGGACGCAUCACUGGUGUUCGGGUU